CCAUCAACGUGGUCGGGGCUGUGCUGGGCAUCGGGCUGGCCUUGCUGAUCCUGGUGGUUUUUGGCUACACCUUCAUCCGGUGGUACCAGAGGGGCUGGUGCUGGCACCGGCCUGACUUUGUCUUCAACCUCUACCACACGCACGGGCUGGGGUCAGUGGCAGUGGAGCUGGUGCCCCCAUUCAGCAUCAGUGGCUCUCUGAGCACCACGGGCAGUGGCUACAAGCCCUUCCACACCCGGGGGCCGUGAGGAGGGAGCUGGGCUGCUGAGCAGCUUCACAGAAUAGCUGGGGUUGGAAGGGACCUCUGGGGACCACCUGGUCCAAACUGCCACUGGAAGAAGUGACACAGGAAUGCAUCCAGGAGGAUUUUGAAUGUCACCAGAGAGGGAGACUCCACACUCUCCCUGGGCAGCUCCUCCAUCUGCUCCCCAGCCACAGCUCUCUUGCUGUCCUUCCCUGGCCAUGGGCAGCACAGGAGGUGCCUGGGGCUGGCACUGGCACAGCCUCCCCUCGCUUGGGAUGGAGGAAGAGGAUGCGGCCUCAUCUCAGGCUCCCUCAGCACUCAUCCCAGAGAAAACAGCCACCCUCCCCACGGCUCAGAGACCUUCCAGCCCUCAGGACCAGCCACCUGCAUGCCCAGGAGACCUGGGGCUGAGAGUGCAGGGCACCAGCUAAGGAGGACAGCCAAGAGCCCCAGAACUGGGUGGCUAGGUUUGUGCAACUGUGAAGAAAUGGGAAAUCUACUCCAGGCCCCCUCCUCGCUCCAGUAUCUGGACCAAUGCGGGAGUUUGUCCCCUGCACCAAUAGUGCAAGCAAACACCUCAGAAAGCCCCUGUGAGGUUUGUCCUGAUUUUUUUCAUACCAACUGCCUUCAGUCUCAGCAGAGCAAGUGGCUGUGGAAGUGCCCAGAGCAUGAGAGCAGCCAUGGGGAAGGUGCUGUGGCCACAGAGAGGGACCAUUUCUAUGCAAACUUUCCUCAGAAGGAAAAUGAAGAGAAACUCAUGACUCCCUGUGGCUGUGUGAGGGAAACCGGUGAGGACAGAGCGGGAUUUCCAGGCAGUCGGAGGGACUAUCAGCACUCUCGGCCACCAAAGCCAAGCCCUGUGGUCUGCAGCUUUCUGGAGAACUCCUGGGUUUGGUUGAAAGGAGAGCUCUGGCUGCUCAUGUUGCCCUGGGUGCUGGCAGCUGGAGCCCUUGGUGGUGGGCAGGAACUGCCAGCGCUCGGCACAGCGCAGGAUCCGCCCGCGGAGCUUUGACGUCAGCGGCGCUUGAAAGAAAAACUAAACAAAAAAGUCACGCUUAGUUUUGAUGACUCCGUUUUCCAGAGGAAGUUGAAAAAAAAAGAAAAAGAAAGCAAAAAGCUCCAGCCCCCAAAAUACACAGAGGCAGAAGAGUUGGGGUCAGUGGCGGGGCAGGAGGAGGUGCCCAGUGACCUCCACAGCCGGGCCCCCGCGGGAUGCAGGCACUGACCUCACAUGUGAGUAGUGCAACAUCUGGUGUAACAAAAGGCAACCUGGCAAAGAUCAGUGUCCUUCUCCUGCCUGCAGUGACUCAUGCUUUCACCUGAAAAACAUAUUCCCCGAGGAGGGUUUCCACCAGCAGUUUUAAUGGGACUAUCCCACCGUGAAGGUUCUUGGAAACGAAGUGACUCUUGGAAAAACUUCCCUGCUGCGAUCUGGCAGCAGUCAGGUGUGUAGCCCACGGUGAGUUGUUCCAUCUCUUGCUGUUUCCAUUCUGACAGUAACUAUUCACAGAAUCACAGAAUCAAUCAGGUUGGAAAAGACCUCUGAGGUCAUCAAUCUAACCUAUGACCAAACACCACCAUGUCAACAAGCCCGUGGCACUAAGUGCCACAUUCAGUCUUUCCUGGUUUCCCCAACCCCUGGGUUUGAUUUGUUCUGCUCUGCCCUGAGGUUCUCCUGUCCUUCCCUGGUGCUGUCCCAUGGAAUCCCUGUGUAUUCCCUGCUGCCUCAUCCCAUCCCUGUGGAAUCAUGAUGAGCAGUUCAGCUCCUUUUCCCUGCUGCUCCUCUGGUGACUGAUCCCACAACACUGCCCUGGGACAACUGCCACGGUCCUCAGGUGCAUAAGAAUCUCUCAGUGAUCUGCCUUGGUUCUCCUUUUGCAGCUGUGAUGUGCUGGAAAUGCUCUUCCCCACGUGAGGCAAAGGCACGUUGCCCUUUGCUGCUGGGGAAUGUCUGUGCGUGAAAACGGAAAGCGCAGCUUGACCUUAGGAGAGGAUGAACAGACAAACGGCCCAAAUAAAUAACACCACAUCCUUUGUAUUUACAAAUUAAAUAGAAUAAAUAAUGUCUGCAUACAGGAGGGGCAGAACACAGCCCAUAGUGUUAAGCAGGGCUGGCCUGGCUCAUCGUGUAUCCCGUAACCCAUGAGACAGCCAGCACCCCACGGCUCUGCCAGAGGGGCUGGAUGCCAAAGGGUCUCUGUGGGGUCAGAAAAGUCCCUCGCUCCCUCCAUGUGAGGUCAGCCAGGGAGGGAGCCCCGUGCUCCAGCAGUAGGGUGGCUGAUGUCAGGCUGCCCUCUGCUCCCAGUGUCUGUGUUGUGAAAGGUCUGGAUGUCGUCGGAGGACGUCACCGGAGCUGUGGACGUCAGCUGGAGGAGCCCAGUGCUGGCCAGAGGAAGGGGGAAGUGGAACCACAGAGCUGGCCCCAGCCCCAAGGGUGGCCCUGUGCCUCAGGCUGGGCUGCUGAGGAGGGCAGACAAGACAGGAUCAUCCUUGGGAAACAUCCUGGUGUGCACCAGCAGAGCCCCCAGGAUCCCCAAAAGCACAAUGAAGCAGGGGCUGAGGAUGCUCGGGAGAAGCUCCACAAUCCCUGCAAGAGAGGACGUGUCCAGGACCGUGUGGGACAGAUGGGGAGAGCAUGGGAGCAGCAACUCAUCUCACCGUCUUGUUGUCCUGCGUCCUCCUGACGUACACCCGGUACUGCCUCACGUCCUCAUGGAUG
This is a long non-coding RNA of Corapipo altera (White-ruffed manakin), 2963 nucleotides long. RefSeq lists it as uncharacterized. NCBI's taxonomy places the organism in Eukaryota, Metazoa, Chordata, Aves, Passeriformes, Pipridae. The record is from RefSeq and is a predicted model, not a curated record. The transcript has 6 exons.